CAUCCAGCGGGAAAGACUUCCCUUCAAAGGCAUGCUGGGAACUGUGGUCCUGCAAGGGCCGGAAACGGGAGUCCGGCGGCCCCUGAGGCCAGCAGCCAAGAGACCGUUAGGGGGAGGGUCUAAGCGACGGCUCUGCCUCCUUUUUGUUCCUUUCGGAGGUGACUGUCCCGCUGGAGACUUGGCUCGUCGGACUGGUUGACAGUCGCGGAAGCUGGCAUCCUUUGGAUGUCGUAAGGGGUAAAAGAGAUGGCAGCCCUGGGCAUGGAGUGGCCACUCCAGUGUUAGCCGAGCUGAAAAAUGCAACCUCCCUCACAGUAAUGUGAAGAUUUGGGGAUAAAGGUCAUGUUAUUCCUAUUGAUGUACAAAUGCUUGA
This is a long non-coding RNA of Hipposideros armiger (great roundleaf bat), 373 nucleotides long. RefSeq lists it as uncharacterized. The record is from RefSeq and is a predicted model, not a curated record. The transcript is spliced from 2 exons. Lineage: Eukaryota; Metazoa; Chordata; Mammalia; Chiroptera; Hipposideridae.